AGCGGCGGCACCUGUCACCCCCACACCCUCCCCGGGGACACCGGACACCACCAACGACACCCCCGGGCAGCCCCUCCGGACCACACAAGAGUUUGUGUAUGCUGGGAAGUGCCACAUCCUCCCGAGUUGUGCGUGGGGCAGGGUGACGCCUGCCCGGUUCCUUCAGAAGGUUUCCUCCCCUCCUCAGUGGCAGAGGCUUGGUCCCCAGGGCAGGACUGCAAGAUGGAGAUGGGCCAGACUGGUGCCUUGAGCCUUUUCCCCUGGAUGAAAUCCUGCCUUGCACGGGGUGCUGACCCCAGCAACACCUCUCCUUGGAAAAAAACCCCAUGCCUGGGACCAGUUCCAGCACUGUCACCAGCUGGUAUGGAGCAACCUAAACACAAAAGGGCCAAAAAAGAUCCCCUCCCUGCCCAUUCCAAACUAACUGUGGGUGCAGCACUUCACACAAAGGACUUCAAGAAGCAUCUGGCUGAGAACACCUAUGGAGCAAGACCUGUCCUUGUGAACAAAUCCUUCAUGAUGUGUUUGUCUGCCCAUGCUCUGGGCUAGCACAAGGUUUGGGUUGUACAGUCAACUUGAACUUA
This is a long non-coding RNA of Cyanistes caeruleus (blue tit), 584 nucleotides long. RefSeq lists it as uncharacterized. Lineage: Eukaryota; Metazoa; Chordata; Aves; Passeriformes; Paridae. The record is from RefSeq and is a predicted model, not a curated record.